Molecule: ribosomal RNA, 252 nt
Filed under: uncultured microorganism
Description: partial 16S ribosomal RNA
Rfam family: Bacterial small subunit ribosomal RNA
Source: RNAcentral
UACGUAGGUCCCGAGCGUUGUCCGGAUUUAUUGGGCGUAAAGCGAGCGCAGGUGGUUUAAUAAGUCUGGUGUAAAAGGCAGUGGCUCAACCAUUGUAUGCAUUGGAAACUGGUAGACUUGAGUGCAGGAGAGGAGAGUGGAAUUCCAUGUGUAGCGGUGAAAUGCGUAGAUAUAUGGAGGAACACCGGUGGCGAAAGCGGCUCUCUGGCCUGUAACUGACACUGAGGCUCGAAAGCGUGGGUAGCAAACAGG